This 440-nucleotide ribosomal RNA is filed under the name uncultured bacterium. RNAcentral describes it as "partial 16S ribosomal RNA". It matches the Rfam family "Bacterial small subunit ribosomal RNA", at positions 338 to 795 of the family's 1533-position model. The record is from RNAcentral.
CCUACGGGAGGCAGCAGUGGGGAAUAUUGCACAAUGGGCGAAACCCUGAUGCAGCGACGCCGCGUGAGGGAAGAAGUACUUCGGUAUGUAAACUUCUAUCAGCAGGGAAGAAAAUGACGGUACCUGACUACGAAGCCCCGGCUAACUACGUGCCAGCAUCCGCUGUCAUACUUCGGGGGCAAGCGUUAUCCGGAUUUACUGGGUGUAAAGGGAGCGUAGGCGGUUUAGCAAGUCAGAAGUGAAAGCCCGGGGAUCAACUCCGGGACUGCUUUUGACACUGUUGAACUAGAUUGCAGGAGAGGUAAGUGGAAUUCCUAGUGUAGCGGUGAAAUGCGUAGAUAUUAGGAGGAACACCAGUGGCGAAGGCGGCUUACUGGACUGUAAAUGACGCUGAGGCACGAAAGCGUGGGGAGCAAACAGGAUUAGAUACCCCAGUAGUC